GUGUCAGCAGCCGCGGUAAUACGGAGGGUGCAAGCGUUAAUCGGAAUUACUGGGCGUAAAGGGCGCGUAGGUGGUACUUUAAGUUGGGUGUGAAAUCCCCGGGCUCAACCUGGGAAUUGCAUCCAAAACUGGAGUGCUAGAGUGUGGUAGAGGGUAGCGGAAUUUCUGGUGUAGCGGUGAAAUGCGUAGAUAUCAGAAGGAACAUCAAUGGCGAAGGCAGCUACCUGGGCCAACACUGACGCUGAGGCGCGAAAGCAUGGGGAGCAAACAGGAUUAGAUACCCCAGUAGUCC
Molecule: ribosomal RNA, 292 nt
Filed under: uncultured prokaryote
Description: partial 16S ribosomal RNA
Rfam family: Bacterial small subunit ribosomal RNA
Source: RNAcentral